Syngnathoides biaculeatus (alligator pipefish) is the source of this 985-nucleotide long non-coding RNA. RefSeq lists it as uncharacterized. The record is from RefSeq and is a predicted model, not a curated record. NCBI's taxonomy places the organism in Eukaryota, Metazoa, Chordata, Actinopteri, Syngnathiformes, Syngnathidae. The transcript is spliced from 3 exons.
AGGACAUGCUGCUGCGACUGCUGUAUUGCUUACAACAGAAAAACACAUCAACGGAGUAGGAGCUGCACAGUCGAAAAAAUAAUUACUAUGAGAUACAACUGUUGCAAAAAAGUGCUAAGCGGGUUCCUUUCAAUAUGAGUGGGGAAAAGGGAAUAUUGCAUUUCGUCCAGAUGGAACAUGGAGCCCGAGGAAUGCAUCUGGAAUAUAUAUAUAUUUUUUUUAGGGCAAAUGACAUUUCUCAUCACAUCUCGUUGUCAGGGCUGCUGCUUCAGCAUUUUGAACUCUCCUUCUUUUUUUUGUUUGGGAGGGGGGUUGUCUAUGUGCACUAGUGAAGAGACCAGCUGCAAGUCGUCAUCAUCAGCGGUGCAGUUAAGUCUUUCCUGGCCGGCAUCUCAUCAUAACAUUGUCUCUAGUAGUCGUACUGUCAGUCACAUCUAGCAUCCAAAACUAUUUACGCUGAGUUCAAAGAAAUAGUGAUGGCAGUUUUUCCUUGUAACCAGAGAUUCCACGCCUUCCUCCUCGCCUGCACAAGUGCGAGCCUGCUGAGGAAGUCCACAGCAACCUGCUUGCCUUCUACUCCGUUCAUGCCUGCAUAUUUGCCUGUGGAUACCCUUUGCUGGCCAGCACAGACCACCAGAAGUCAAUGUCCCCCCUCACCUCCCAUUUGCCUGUUGCAAUCCAUUAGGUGUAAAUCUUCACUAAUUGUGUUCCUCUCUGGCGAUUUUGCGGAAACAUCUUUUUCACAUGAUACUGCACUGUUGGUGGGUUCCUGAGGAAGAGGCAAAGGGGGGCAAAUAAAAUGUCCACUAUUCCGAUAAUGGUCAUCAACCAUGGGAAGCCAAUACUUUCAGCUAUGGAGCCUCCGAUGGAUGGGCCUAAAAACAGAAGAUUAAUGAGAUCAUUGCCACCUUGUUUCAAAAAAACAUUCUUUUGCAAAAUGAUUGUUUAUAACGCAAUUUGAAAAGACUCAACGAUUGUGGUUCUA